CCUACGGGUGGCAGCAGUGAGGAAUAUUGGUCAAUGGACGAGAGUCUGAACCAGCCAAGUAGCGUGAAGGAUGACUGCCCUAUGGGUUGUAAACUUCUUUUAUAAGGGAAUAAAACGAGGCACGUGUGCCUUUUUGCAUGUACUUUAUGAAUAAGGAUCGGCUAACUCCGUGCCAGCAGCCGCGGUAAUACGGAGGAUCCGAGCGUUAUCCGGAUUUAUUGGGUUUAAAGGGAGCGUAGAUGGGUUGUUAAGUCAGUUGUGAAAGGUUGCGGCUCAACCGUAAAAUUGCAAUUGAUACUGGCAGUCUUGAGUACAGUUGAGGUAGGCGGAAUUCGUGGUGUAGCGGUGAAAUGCUUAGAUAUCACGAAGAACCCCGAUUGCGAAGGCAGCUUACUAAACUGUGACUGACAUUGAUGCUCGAAAGUGUGGGUAUCAAACAGGAUUAGAUACCCUUGUAGUC
Molecule: ribosomal RNA, 460 nt
Filed under: uncultured bacterium
Lineage: Bacteria
Description: partial 16S ribosomal RNA
Rfam family: Bacterial small subunit ribosomal RNA
Source: RNAcentral